CGUUGAUGAUGCUACUAUUUCACGUGCAAUUGUACUCGGAUUGGGUUUCAAAUCGGAAGGCUUCCAAAUUGAUCGAGGAGCAAAGCUUCUGCCACAAGAUUCAGAAGGUAGGAUUGAAAAUUCCAAACACAAGGUGAGCCCUGCCAUGCUGGCUUCUUGUAGUUCUACUUCUAAACGUUCGCAGGUAACUACAGCUCUCAAAGCAGCCAACAAGUACCAGCUGUAGUAUCCUUCAUUCACAGUAGUUAUCCGGUCGCAUAAUCUAUUGAAGUGACAUGCGGUAAGAAAAGAUCUCGAGCUAAUAGUUCUCAUUUGCAAAAUUUGGACAGGAAUGAGAUCUAUUACCUUCUACUAAGACUGUCCCAAGCAGGAUUUUAAAGGGACACGUCAAUGGAGGAAUGCAAACCGCAUCUCUUAGAUAUUUGGAUGGAUCAUGGCCAGUGAAGCUCAUGUACUACCCACAACAUGGCCAGGGAAAGCUCUCUGCCGGUUGGGCUGCAUUUCAGAGAGGAACUUCUCAGAAGGAAGGAGUUGUCCAUGCGUUUGAGCUUGCAAGAAUUGAUAAUAUUGAACUCGAAGUCUGCAUUUUCAAAAGGAACGCCAAGUCUUGGGUGUAAACUUCGGUUUGUCUACAGAAAAAUUUUUGCUUCACUAUAUUUUGUUUUUUGUUAGUCAGAUGAAAGAAAGAAAGACUUUUUGCUGCAAGUAAUUGAAUGGUGAUGUAUUUCC
This is a long non-coding RNA of Syzygium oleosum, 729 nucleotides long. RefSeq lists it as uncharacterized. NCBI's taxonomy places the organism in Eukaryota, Viridiplantae, Streptophyta, Magnoliopsida, Myrtales, Myrtaceae. The record is from RefSeq and is a predicted model, not a curated record. The transcript has 3 exons.